Molecule: long non-coding RNA, 176 nt
Filed under: Manacus vitellinus (golden-collared manakin)
Lineage: Eukaryota; Metazoa; Chordata; Aves; Passeriformes; Pipridae
Description: lncRNA (ENSMVIG00005007765.1)
Source: RNAcentral
GUUACAUUUUUACUUCAUAAAGGAUGAUGAAUUUAUUUAAUCUGGAGGAUUAAAGAAGUGCUACAACUUCCAAGGAUUCAAAGACGCGGUGGAAAAAGUGACCUCAUUGGCAAAGACUUUAAGACUUCACAAACCGCCUUCACGAGGCAGAAGAAUAUGACAUGGGAACUGCUGGC